AGAAAGCUCCUUUCAUUGGUGUGUUCAGAGAGCCCUUGAUUAUGAAGACUCAGUACCCUGCUUGGAAAACAAUCUGAAUGAAUGUGUUUCAGUGUGGGAGAUGGGGAAGUCACGCAGGGACAGUCUGGGAAGGCAGGAGGGAGGCUGGUAUUUACCUUCCUGCCCUCUGGAAGGGUGGUGGCCUUGCAGAUCCCAGUCCCAGCCUUUCUUUCGCUCAGUUUCCCUGGGUGGAAACUGGGCUUGUGAAAAUGAUGGUGGUAAGGUCUCCGCGCGUCCCUGGUAACACCUAACCAGGAGCCUCUCUCUGCUGGAGGCUUCAUGAGAGCAACUUCUCCCUUCAUCCUGCCAGCUGAGGUGAUGACAGCAAACCACCACCGCCACAAGCCUCAUGCCAUCCCAGCCUGGAAUUCUCUCCCCGGCGCAGACGGUGCCCCUGCAGAGAUGAGGCCAUGAGGCCCUCGGCAGAGCCAAGGAGCCUGAUCACAUAUUUAUUACUGGCACCAACAGCAGGGAGCUACCACACCGAUUACUUGUUCUUUUGUUUGACUACUAUCUAUUGAGUAUCAGCUGUAUGCCAGGCAGUGUCCUAGACUCCAUGGACAAAGCAGGGAACAAGGCAUCCAGGUCCUGGUUUCUGAGCCUCUUGCAUUCUGUGUGGGAGAGAGAUGAUAGGAGCAGAAAUAAAAAAGAUCUACUUCCCCAUCCCAUUGUUUGUUCUUCCACUUUGCUAUACAAAGACAAACUUCUGACCAGGCUGGCUCUUGACUCAGAUGUGUUGCUGCCAAGGGAGAGCCUGAAAGACCGAAGCGAAGGCAGAAUGACAAGAAACCGUGGAGUCUGCAGCAACCACUUCAAACAGGAGACAGGCUCAUGGCCGAGGCUCCCUUCCUUAUCCAUGUAUCCAUGUUAGAAUUAGAAUUCAGAUGCUGUUAGAAUUCUCAAGAAGGUGUAUAAUAAGUUAUCUUGGGCUGGACACUGUGGUUCAUGCCUGAAAUCCCAACACUUUGGGAGGCUGAGGCAAGAGGAUCACUUGAACCCAGGAGUUUGGGACCAGCCUGGGCAACAUAGUGAGACCCUGUCUCCACAAAAAAUGCAAAAGUAGUCAAGCAUGGUGGUGCACACCUGUAGUCCCAGCUACUCGGGAGGCUGAGGUGGGAGAAUUGCUUGAGCCUAAGAGAUAGAGGUUGCAGUGAGCUGAGACGAAGCCACUGCACUCAACCUGGGCGACAGAGGAGACCUUGCCUCAAAUAAUAAUAAAGUUAUUUUGAAUUGAAAAUAAAGUUAGACUCUUG
RNAcentral lists this long non-coding RNA (1292 nucleotides) under Homo sapiens (human). Its description in RNAcentral is "HSALNT0001896". Lineage: Eukaryota; Metazoa; Chordata; Mammalia; Primates; Hominidae. The record is from RNAcentral.